This 483-nucleotide ribosomal RNA is filed under the name uncultured bacterium. Its description in RNAcentral is "bacterial SSU rRNA". It matches the Rfam family "Bacterial small subunit ribosomal RNA", at positions 30 to 501 of the family's 1533-position model. The record is from RNAcentral.
AUUGAACGCUGGCGGCAUGCCUUACACAUGCAAGUCGAACGGUAACGGGCCUUCGGGUGCCGACGAGUGGCGAACGGGUGAGUAAUGCAUCGGAACGUACCUUUCAGUGGGGGAUAACGUAGCGAAAGUUACGCUAAUACCGCAUAUUCUGUGAGCAGGAAAGCAGGGGAUCGCAUGACCUUGCGCUGAUUGAGCGGCCGAUGUCAGAUUAGCUAGUUGGUGAGGUAAAGGCUCACCAAGGCGACGAUCUGUAGCGGGUCUGAGAGGAUGAUCCGCCACACUGGAACUGAGACACGGUCCAGACUCCUACGGGAGGCAGCAGUGGGGAAUUUUGGACAAUGGGGGCAACCCUGAUCCAGCCAUGCCGCGUGAGUGAAGAAGGCCUUCGGGUUGGUAAAGACGUCUUUCGGUCCGGGGAAGAAAUACGGCAUGGGUUAAUAACCCUGUGCGGAUGACGGUACGGCAUAAGAAGCACCGGCUAAC